UAUUUGGAAAGGGGGAAGGGCCCCAAUUUAUUUUAUAUAUCUGUAUGGAUGUAUAUGUGAAUAAGUUUCAUGCUUAGAUUGAUACUUUUCUAUGUGAAAUUUGAUAUUAUUUGCGCGCAUGAGUUAAGUUAAUAAAAAUUAAACGUGUGAAAAAUCUUGUGUGGAUUGUCUAAGAUCAAUGGGAUAAAAUUAGGUGGAAGUUUUAAGUCAGAUGUCGCUUUACUUGAUGAUAUUUAAUGAGAGGUAUUGCACUAAUCAAGUUCAAGGUAGAAAAAUAUAUUUAUUUGGAAACUUCUCUUCGUAGCCUUUAUGAUCGAGUUAUUAAGCCUAUAAGGAUGUCUGGAAUUUGUUGCCCUAAAGUCAUUUGACUUGGAAGUCAUCAACAAAAAGUUCACUACAUAGGUCAUUUAAAAAGCUUAAUGGAGGAUUGCUACAAGAAAAACUAAAAAAAUAAAAAAUGAAUAAGAAAAAGUAGGUGCAUGAAACAAAAGAAUCAUCGUAUGCUUUGAUUAAGCCCCAAACACUUGUUUGAGAAAAUUAACUUUUGACAGUAGAUUAUUAGUCUAGUUGAGUCUUGGAGAUUAAAUUAAUCAAAAUAAUCGUAAUCCUUGUCCGUUGAAGUUUGACUUACAAUUAGUAAAAUCUAUCUAAACUAGAUAGAUAAGGAUAAAAAUAAAGAUUCAACUUUAGACCACACAUUGCUAGAGAGGUAAAAGCAUAAGUUUAGGGUUGGGUAAUUCUUAUGGGUGAUGAAAGGACA
RNAcentral lists this long non-coding RNA (760 nucleotides) under Olea europaea subsp. europaea. The record is from RNAcentral. Lineage: Eukaryota; Viridiplantae; Streptophyta; Magnoliopsida; Lamiales; Oleaceae.